AUGGUGUCGAAUGCCGUGCCAUGGGUCAUGACGGUGGCUGCUAGCACAAUAGACAGAUCAUUCCCAACCCAAGUGACGCUCGGGAACAAUGAAAAGUUGGUGGGGCAAUCUCUUCACUACAACACAUCCGUGACCAGCAACGACUUUAAGGCCCUCGUUCAUGCGAGGAGCUGUGACAUGGAGACACUAGCUUCGAGCAAUGUCACAGGAAAAAUAGUAUUGUGCUAUGCACCAGAGGUGGCCUUUCUCACCUCGCCUCGGGUGGCACUUCGCAAUGCCAUCAACCGUACCUUGGAGGCCGGUGCUAAGGGCCUCAUUUUCGCACAGUACGCCAUCAAUAAUGUCAACAAUGUGGCCGCGUGCCACAACAUUAUGCCUUGUGUUCUCGUGGAUUUUGAGAUAGCACAUAGAAUUGCUUCAUAUUGGGAUAUGACAGGGAGUCCAGUGGUGAAGGUGUGA
This 459-nucleotide ribosomal RNA is filed under the name Triticum aestivum (bread wheat). RNAcentral's name for it is "partial small subunit ribosomal RNA". Lineage: Eukaryota; Viridiplantae; Streptophyta; Magnoliopsida; Poales; Poaceae. The record is from RNAcentral.